This 28-nucleotide non-coding RNA is filed under the name Mus musculus (house mouse). The record is from RNAcentral. Lineage: Eukaryota; Metazoa; Chordata; Mammalia; Rodentia; Muridae.
UCAACUUUUGGGAGAUGAUACUGCUGAG